UAAGUGAUAACUUUAGGGUUUUUAUCCCCUGUAUUGAGUUCACAGUAAAAGUUGCAGCGAUGAAAGAGCACCUUUUUUUAAAACUUUUGUAUGGGUAAAUUAUUGACGCGCUUGCCCAUACGAAUCAAUAAAAAAUCUCUUUCAGCGCUGCAACUUUUACAGUGAACUCUAUAUAAGGGACAC
Long non-coding RNA from Aricia agestis (brown argus), 183 nucleotides. RefSeq lists it as uncharacterized. The record is from RefSeq and is a predicted model, not a curated record. The transcript has 3 exons. NCBI's taxonomy places the organism in Eukaryota, Metazoa, Arthropoda, Insecta, Lepidoptera, Lycaenidae.